AGGAAGGAAGGAAGGAAGGAAGGAAGGAAAGAAAGUGGCUUUCUCUUUUCCUUCCUUCCUUCCUUCCUUCCUUCCUUCCUU
Podarcis lilfordi (Lilford's wall lizard) is the source of this 81-nucleotide non-coding RNA. NCBI's taxonomy places the organism in Eukaryota, Metazoa, Chordata, Lepidosauria, Squamata, Lacertidae. The record is from the annotation of a GenBank genome assembly.